This 73-nucleotide transfer RNA is filed under the name Dipodomys ordii (Ord's kangaroo rat). It matches the Rfam family "tRNA". Rfam says of the family: Transfer RNA (tRNA) molecules are approximately 80 nucleotides in length. Their secondary structure includes four short double-helical elements and three loops (D, anti-codon, and T loops). The record is from Rfam by way of RNAcentral. Lineage: Eukaryota; Metazoa; Chordata; Mammalia; Rodentia; Heteromyidae.
GGAGGUAUAGCUCAGAUGGUAGAAUGCCAUCCUAACAAGAGGGAGGUCCUGAGUUCAAAUCCCAGUACCCUUU